UGGUGUCUAUGAUGUCACCUUUACCUACAUUGUUUGAGUUUUCCUGAGAAAAACCCCAAGUCCUGAGACACCU
Molecule: small nucleolar RNA, 73 nt
Organism: Hirundo rustica (Barn swallow)
Lineage: Eukaryota; Metazoa; Chordata; Aves; Passeriformes; Hirundinidae
Product: small nucleolar RNA SNORD34
Exons: 1
Source: RefSeq, a predicted model, not a curated record